AGUGGCGGACGGGUGAGGAAUACAUCGGAAUCUACUCUGUCGUGGGGGAUAACGUAGGGAAACUUACGCUAAUACCGCAUACGACCUACGGGUGAAAGCAGGGGAUCUUCGGACCUUGCGCGAUUGAAUGAGCCGAUGUCGGAUUAGCUAGUUGGCGGGGUAAAGGCCCACCAAGGCGACGAUCCGUAGCUGGUCUGAGAGGAUGAUCAGCCACACUGGAACUGAGACACGGUCCAGACUCCUACGGGAGGCAGCAGUGGGGAAUAUUGGACAAUGGGCGCAAGCCUGAUCCAGCCAUACCGCGUGGGUGAAGAAGGCCUUCGGGUUGUAAAGCCCUUUUGUUGGGAAAGAAAUCCAGCUGGCUAAUACCCGGUUGGGAUGACGGUACCCAAAGAAUAAGCACCGGCUAACUUCGUGCCAGCAGCCGCGGUAAUACGAAGGGUGCAAGCGUUACUCGGAAUUACUGGGCGUAAAGCG
RNAcentral lists this ribosomal RNA (477 nucleotides) under uncultured Gammaproteobacteria bacterium. Its description in RNAcentral is "bacterial SSU rRNA". It matches the Rfam family "Bacterial small subunit ribosomal RNA", at positions 94 to 567 of the family's 1533-position model. The record is from RNAcentral. Lineage: Bacteria; Pseudomonadati; Pseudomonadota; Gammaproteobacteria.